CAGCACCUCAAGUGGUCAGGAUGAUUAUUGGGCCUGAAGCAUCCGUAGCCGGCGCUGUACGUUUUCGGUUAAAUCUGUACGCUCAACGUACAGGCUGCCGGGAAUACUGCAGCGCUAGGGAGUGGGAGAGGUAGACGGUACUCGGUAGGAAGGGGUAAAAUCCUUUGAUCUAUUGAUGACCACCUGUGGCGAAGGCGGUCUACCAGAACACGUCCGACGGUGAGGGAUGAAAGCUGGGGGAGCAAACCGGAUUAGAUACCCGUGUAGUCC
RNAcentral lists this ribosomal RNA (270 nucleotides) under uncultured archaeon. Its description in RNAcentral is "partial 16S ribosomal RNA". It matches the Rfam family "Archaeal small subunit ribosomal RNA", at positions 477 to 747 of the family's 1478-position model. The record is from RNAcentral.